Molecule: ribosomal RNA, 433 nt
Filed under: uncultured bacterium
Lineage: Bacteria
Description: partial 16S ribosomal RNA
Rfam family: Bacterial small subunit ribosomal RNA
Source: RNAcentral
AACGAACGCUGGCGGCAUGCCUAACACAUGCAAGUCGAACGAGACCUUCGGGUCUAGUUGCGCACGGGUGCGUAACGCGUGGGAACCUGCCCUUAGGUUCGGAAUAACUCCCCGAAAGGGGUGCUAAUACCGGAUAAUGUCUUCGGACCAAAGAUUUAUCGCCUUUGGAUGGGCCCGCGUUGGAUUAGCUAGUUGGUAGGGUAAAAGCCUACCAAGGCGACGAUCCAUAGCUGGUCUGAGAGGAUGAUCAGCCACACUGGGACUGAGACACGGCCCAGACUCCUGCGGGAGGCAGCAGUGGGGAAUAUUGGACAAUGGGCGAAAGCCUGAUCCAGCAAUGCCGCGUGAGUGAUGAAGGCCUUAGGGUUGUAAAGCUCUUUUAACCGGGAUGAUAAUGACAGUACCGGGAGAAUAAGCUCCGGCUAACUCCGUG